This is a long non-coding RNA of Hibiscus syriacus, 168 nucleotides long. RefSeq lists it as uncharacterized. Lineage: Eukaryota; Viridiplantae; Streptophyta; Magnoliopsida; Malvales; Malvaceae. The record is from RefSeq and is a predicted model, not a curated record. The transcript has 2 exons.
CUUCAUCCAUAAAUGUGACCCUUAAAAACCGAUCAGCUACUUCUUUGUAUUUCCUUAGAACCCUAACCCUGUUUGAAAGCUCAACUUCUGGAAGAAGACAAUAUGCUUUGGUUGGAGUAAUAACCAAUCUUCUGAUCUCAACAAUAUCAUCCAACUGUUUAGGGUUCU